GGUUGUGGCUCAGUGGUAGAAUGCUCGCCUGGUACGCGCAAGGCCCUGGGUUCGAUUCGCAGCACCA
RNAcentral lists this transfer RNA (67 nucleotides) under Marmota monax (woodchuck). RNAcentral describes it as "tRNA.Thr". The record is from RNAcentral. Lineage: Eukaryota; Metazoa; Chordata; Mammalia; Rodentia; Sciuridae.